GCUAACUCUAAAUGGACAGCCGCCUUCUGUAAUUGCACGAGGUGGGUUUUCAGGGCUUGCCCCGGAAUCCUCUCUCAUGGCACUUCAAUUCGCAAAGGACUUCGGCGCCCCAGGGUUGGUUUUUCUGUGCAAUUUACAAUUAACAAAAGAUGGCGUUGGAUUAUGCCAGGAAAAUGUCAACCUUGAAACUACAACAAAUAUAGAUAUCGUGAACCCAAAUGAAGCAAAAACCUACAACGUAAAUGGGAAGGAUGUUAAGGGGUGGUUUUCU
Molecule: unclassified non-coding RNA, 271 nt
Filed under: Hevea brasiliensis (rubber tree)
Lineage: Eukaryota; Viridiplantae; Streptophyta; Magnoliopsida; Malpighiales; Euphorbiaceae
Source: RNAcentral